Long non-coding RNA from Trichechus manatus latirostris (Florida manatee), 1948 nucleotides. RefSeq lists it as uncharacterized. The transcript has 2 exons. The record is from RefSeq and is a predicted model, not a curated record. Lineage: Eukaryota; Metazoa; Chordata; Mammalia; Sirenia; Trichechidae.
AUGCUUAGGGUUCCAGGACUGAUGUUUGUCUGUUUUACUUAGUUGUUCGGGUCUUUGCUGUGGAGGAAUGGUGUGGUGCUUCUGCCUAUAGUGCCAUGUUGGCUCCCUCAAGCCACUCUUAAAUUUAGUUUAUGAAGUUCACCCUGAUUUUUAUUCUCACUGUACUGAUAUUUCUUGGGAGGUAUCUAAGAAGAUCUUCAACUCCACUCAGCCUCUUCCUCUUUCUCCAUGCCAAGAGUUGGCUUAUUCACAAAUCAAAAAUUGUAAAUUGGUGUCCACUCCUACAGCUGGAGGGAGAAAGAGUUGACCCAGUGAAGCCCUCGAUGCCUGGCGCAGUCUCAGCCUUGGAGAACAGAAGGGUCAUCCUUCCUUCAAAAAACCUCUGACUUUGGUCAGGUGAAGCUUGAUUUAGAGGCAGAAUUUGGAAAGGAUCUCAAAGAGGUGCUUAUUUUUGGUGAAACCAAUGAGAACAGUUUCCCGGAUCCUCCAUGAGCCUGUUCUGGAGAGUGUGAGACCUCCCAAACCUCAGGACCCCAGUCGUGUGAACCCUGGUGGGUCCUUAGAUUGCCAAGCAGUCCAGGAUAUUGCCAGCUUCCCUUUGAUGUGAAGCCAGACCCUUCAUGGCAUCCUCAUACCCUCCACCAUCUUUAAUUUUUCCUUUUUACACCUAAAAAUUCUAUCUUAUCCCCCCAAAUUUUAAUGCUUCCUUUAUAUCAUCCAAUAUCUAGUCACACUUUGAAUUUCCCCUACUGCCUCACGAAUCUCUUUUUGCAGUUAAUUUGUUUGAAUCAGGCACCAAAACAAGCCCCACGCACUGCAUUUAGCUAGUAUGUCUCAUAAGUCUCUUUUAAGCAGUAAGCCCCCCAUUUCUUUCCUUGCCAUGUAUUCAUUGAAGAAUCUGAAGCAUUUGUCCUAUAAAAUUUUUUGUAUUCUGUAUUUUUCCAGUUGCAUUCCAUUAGUGGUGUGUUCCUCUCUCCCCAGCAUUUUUUGUAAACUAGUAGAUCUCGAGGUCCUUAGGUGAUGCAAACGGUUUGCACUUGACUGCCAACCUAAAGGUUGGCGGUUCGAACACACCCAAAGGUACCAUAGAAGAAAGCCCUGGUGACUUGCUUCUGUGAAGACUGCAGCCAAGAAAACCCUAUGGAGCAGUUCUACUUUGUAACACAUGGGGUCACUAUGAGUUGGAAUCAACUCGACAGCAACUAACAACAGUUAGAUUUCAAGACUGGUUUAGAUUCAGCUUUGGAGGGGGAUUUGUUUUGUUUUGUAUUUUUGGGCAAGUAGACUUCAUAGGUGGGGCUAUUUCAUUUGUGACUUUAAGAUCAGGCAGUAGGUUCAAGUGAGGUCAGCCUGACCCGUCUAUUACAUGGUGCUUCAUCCUUCUCUCACCUAAUGAGUUUAGCAGUCAUUGAUGACUAUUGCCUAAAUUCACUACCUCACGAGGGCUUGCAAAAUGAUGGCAUUCAGAUUCCAUUAUUCCUUCUGUAUUUACUAAUCAGAAUUCUUCUGCAAAAAACUUUCCUUCAGCAAUAUUUGGUUACCUUGUUAUACAGUUUGUACAGGAAAGGCAAGAUAAAUGCUUGAUUCUUUGACUGAGUGGUGUCCAAAAUAAUGAAUUGGUUCCUUAACAUUCCCUAAAGGUGGUCAGAUUCGUUUUUUUGAAUGUGGAUGUCCAGGUGUUCCAACACCAUUUGUUGAACAGACUAUCCUUUCUCCAUUGUAUUGCCUUGCUCCAUGCCAAAGAUCAGUUGACUGUAUUUGUGUGCGUCUAUUUCUGGGCUCUCUGUUCUGUUCCAUUGAUCUAUUUGCCUAUUGAUUUGCCAAUACCACAGUGCAUUGAUUACUUUCAUGUUGUUUUUGGCUACAUUUUCUUUGCUUUUACCUUCUCCAAUAUUUUGGAAGGCAUUGUAUCACCUUUUAAUUCUUUCCAUAUUUACCUGUAACUUUU